GAUGAACGCUGGCGGCGUGCCUAAUACAUGCAAGUCGAGCGAACAGACGAGGAGCUUGCUCCUCUGACGUUAGCGGCGGACGGGUGAGUAACACGUGGAUAACCUACCUAUAAGACUGGUAUAACUUCGGGAAACCGGAGCUAAUACCGGAUAAUAUAUUGAACCGCAUGGUGCAUUGGUGAAAGACGGUUUUGCUGUCACGUAUAGAGGGAUCCCAGCCGCAUUAGCUGGUUGGUAAGGUAACGGCUUAUCACGGCAACGAUGCGUAGCCGACCUGAGAGGGUGAUCGGCCACACUGGAAGUGAGACACGGUCCAGAGUCCUACGGGAGGCAGCAGAAGGGAAUGUUACGCAAUGGGCGAAAGCCUGACGGAGCAACGCCGCGUGAGUGAUGAAGGUCUUCGGAUCGUAAAACUCUGUUAUUAGGGAAGAACAAAUGUGUACGUAAAUAUGCCCGUCUUGACGGUACCUGAUAAGAAAGCCACGGCUAACUACGUG
Molecule: ribosomal RNA, 497 nt
Filed under: uncultured bacterium
Lineage: Bacteria
Description: partial 16S ribosomal RNA
Rfam family: Bacterial small subunit ribosomal RNA
Source: RNAcentral